GCCCCGCUCGUGUGCAUGCUCUCUCUCUCAAACAAACAAACAAACAAACAAACAAACAAACAAACAAAUAAAAAUAUGUAAACCCCAUCAUGGAGAUGGGUGGCUUUCUUCUUGUCAGGCUGUUCUGGUCUGGGCAAGAGUAUCCAAAUUACAGCCAUGAUGGGCCCUCCUAGAGACAUCUGGCCCUCUCUCUUGUAGCAACUAGAAUCUAUCCACAGUGUAAUCUUGAUAAUUUACCUCCCACCCAUUACAAAUGCCCUGCGUUACUGGAAAGAACAUUAUCUGUCCAUUCAUUGUCUAGUGGCCCUUCCAAUGCACCUUAAUUCCAAUGCACCUUCCAAUGAACCGCACAAAGGAUCGGGGCUUUUUGAUCUUGAACUGAGGAGGGCUUUAGGGCCAGGCCUGGAACAGGGUUCAGUUCAAUACAACGCAGUAUGCCAACCUUCAAAAAGACCACCAAGGUCGCCUGCUGACAAAGCAACACUGAAUUUAUUACUAAUUGCAGUAAAGGAGUCCCUGCCACCUUGAUAGAGUCUUAAUAGUCUUAGAAGAGAAAAACCCAGGAUGGAUGUUUAUAGGAUUUGGGGGUCUGGGGGACCAUUUGAGUCAUGUAUUAUUCAGAUGCAUGGAUCGUUAGGGCGUUUCUGAAGCAGUCACUAACGUAAUUUGUGACUUCAUCAUCCUGGGAAACGGUAUCCUGGAAUAGGGCCAUGAUAAUGUGGAGGGUCUUUGCUCUUGAUCCUCUCGUGCCGUGGGGUGGCAGCCACGUUGUCCGCUGGCACGUCACGGGCUUAUCGAGCGUUGACCCUGUGCCAAUAAGGGGCAUCCGAGCGGAAGACGGACCGAACAAGUGACCUGGCAGCACUGGUCCACAAAAGAAGAAACCUCUUCAGGUAAGCUGCGUCGAAUUCUAAAGUAGACGCCAGUCGCUAAAAACAAAGGUGCCAUACAUGUGACUUGUUAAACUCACAUCGGCUUUGAUACCUCUCAGUUCAACCAAAUGCAGGAUGAGGCAGCAAAUGCCCCCUGGGCACUGGCUCUGCCAGGCGCAGGUGCUGGGGACAACAAGCUGAAGAGAACCCGAUUCCCUCCCGCGUGGACACGGCGUGUCAACCCUGCAGCGGAGGCAGGCGCAAGGUGGCGAGCAUGAGGCCAGAGUGAUGACUUCUGGGGCAGAUCAGGAAGCCUUCCUCCCUGCAGAGGCUGACUGUGCGUCUCAGGUAAGAUCCAGCCCUAUUUCUCUAGCCACUAGAUGGACGUCUAACCCUGAAUAGCAGCCAUCAUGUAGGUCACACCUUCUAGCCUCUGGGGAAGAUGAGAGCGGUUCCCAAGAGCAAAGCCUUGGCUGAGGACAGACUGGAGUCCUCAAGGGAUCUCUGAGAAGGGGAUUGAGCUUCCACUGGGGCGGAGGGGGUACAGGAGUUAGAAAGGGGGCGAGAUUUGGGCCAAUGCUGUCACUGAGCAACCCCCCAAGGAUUUACUGGAGCAGGAACCCAAGCAGAUAACCCACGCGAAGUGAUCUGCGACCAGCGGACGUGUUUUCCGUUGUGAUAUUUACUACCUUCGGUGGCUAUUUCCCUUCCAAUGAGCACACCCUGUCUCUUCGGCUAUUCUGCAACCUCCUGAUACGGAGGGAUCACGUCUCUUUGUGUUUCAAGUGGCCCGUCAGCACGCCCUGCACAUAGAAAGUUUCAACACCGGGGGCCUAUGGGUCCAGCUGGAAAGGCACUUCUUGGUAUGAGAACCCUCUGGUGGAGAACCAGACGCUUUCUCCAGAUUCGCUGCCUGCCACUGAGCUUUGUGUCACUGGGCAGUUGCUUCAGCCUCAGGGCCGAGGGGACCUGGGAUGGUCCCAAUUUUCCUCAGCUGCCAGGCACUGGGCUAGGCGCGUCAGCUGUACCUUUGCCUGAAGAACGGAGGCCUCUGAGCAUGGGGCAAAGGGUCCACUUAAUAUAUGGCAUUCCAGCGUUCUGGAGAAAAGACUGCCCUGCCCCCCUGCUCCCAAGCGGGGUCUACGUGGGCAGAUUGAAGACCGAUGCCUAGGCAAGGAUCCCGCAAAUGGGUCCUGAGGCAGCAGGGUCUGAGCGGAAUAUAGCGAGAGCUGGCGGUUGGAGAAGGAGGGGACAACGGCUAUGUGAGUCUGGGGUGACUGAUACGUUGAAAUUGGGCUCGACUAUUUCAUGCGUUUCAUUCCUGAGCGUGCGAGAAAGAGGAGGGCAGAGUUACCUUCAAUUAACGUUAAUGCUGAAUGUUCUCACAUUCAGCCGUGCCCUAUGGGAAUGUCACAAGUUGCCUACGGUAAUACCACCUAGUGGCGUCCCCCUCUGUCGCUCACCAACCCCCCCCCCCCUUUUUAAAAAGUCUUUGGGAUUCCUGUUUAUCUCUGGUCUCUGAGGAAAGGACACUGGGGCCAACAAACUCGAGGGUGAGGUCAUGUACAUCACGGCCCCCUUAUUUCUAGAUUAUCUCUAACACGAAGCAGAAUAAAAGUGAGAUUCUCCACUGCCCCCGAGGUAACUACCUGAACCUUCCUUGUUGGCACGCGUCACUUACCCCUGCCCCCCACGCGUGACAUAGAUCCGCUUUUGUGAUCCAAAAUAGCCUCUUACAACUCGUAGAAGUUAGUGUUUCUGAGAAAAAAAUGUAUCUGGCUUGGAAAGGCCAAAAGAACCGGGGCCUCCCCAUCUACAUGAGAAACAGUAGGCAGGAGAGACAGGCGAGGACACGGGUGCGGGGCAGACGACGGUGUCCUCGGGUGAAAUCAGUGUCGGCUGGGGAGAAAAGAGGCACGCUGGGGGUCUCCGAGGGGCAGACCGCAUACCAGCCCUCACUCCGGGCCGCAGCUCUAAGGACGGGUUGUUAGAACCCCACAAAUAAGUUCUAGGAAAUAGGAACCUGAGGGGCGUGUGGGCCCCGGAAGGCAUCGGGAGGUGUCCUUGGUCCUGACAGUCCCGCCAGGGGGCUUGGUGCAAACCCACUCCAUUUACUGGUGACAUCGCCCCGAAAUCACACUCUUCACUGAGUGUGGGUGAAUCACACACCCUUUGGCUCCCUCCCUCCCAAGGGAGCUGAGAACCUUGACAGCCGCGCCUUGUGUUCUGUCACACCCGCCUCUUCGCCUCCACGGUCCCUCCUGACCCACGCUCUUUUGCUCUCUCCCAGGAAUCUGGAAAUCGUCGUCAGAUUCCAGUUCAGUUUCGGCUGGCCUUCCAGUGCACGAGAGAUGGCCAUGGCCGAGGUUGCCGAGGAGGGGCCACCUCCCACCCUCUGCCCUCCGUGUUGCCCUCUCUCCCGUGCAGCUGGAGAGGCCGAGGACUCCGGGCAGCUGGGAGAGAAGCAGACAGAUGGGGCAGGAGACAGAGUGCUAGAAGACCCAAGGCUGCCAAAAGGAUUUCCCGUUUGCUCCGGUAACACUUGAAGGCAGGGUCUCGGUCUCCCAGCCUCUGAGAGCACUGGAUCUGGGAGCCUGCGGACCACCGGCGGACCACCGACUGUGAAGGUCCGCAGAGCGCAUGCUCCGGCCGCCUCUACCUCUUUACCGCUGCAACCCCGAGGCUCGACACUAGGUGGCAGCAAAGCGCCGGCCCAACAGCAUCUGCAGUCUUCUGCCGCAGAACUUGAAAAAAAGUGGGGCCGCAGAUUUUCCUUUCAGAGAAGGACCCACCCAAGCAAGACGAGCAGCUGUAAAGACAGCAAUAGAGAUAACUGAACAGUCGUCAGGACAAAAAUGCCUUCUGAAUAGGAUGGGCAAACAAACCAGACGCCCCCCCCCCCCCCCGCCCCCACCGCAACGGGCCAUCGUUUAUGAAACCCCUCCGAGGACGAUACAAUGCAAUUUCGGUCGAUGCUUCGGAGCCGAUCAUUUGAUAUUGGGUGUGGAUAUUCUCUGAGGCCCGUUCUGCCGGCAGUUUGGCACCUAAAAUGUGAAAGUCUCAUGAAAGUUUACUGGCCGCAGAGGAGGUAGUUCUGCACGCUUUGGUGACAUCCGUCAUGGUGACCUCGCGUCGUGGGGCCUCGUGUAGAUCAAUACGUGGAUCCCAGACUGAUGUUAACACGGGGUUUCUUUCUAAAUGACAGGGAUUAGCUCGGGAGGAAGAAUCCGCCUGCUUUUAAGGCAGAGCCUUCGGGGAGUAGACCAUUGGGCCCAUCGCAUGGCACAGCCCUGUCCAAGCUGCAUCCCAGAGCAAGGAGAGGGACAAAUGGGGGACCGAGGGGGCGGUGAAAGCAAGCACUUUUCUAGGGUCCAAAACCCCCGAGUCCCGUCUCCCAAAGACCAAAUGGUUCUUAGAAUUUAGUGAACCCGCCCCCAUCAUCCCUGCUCCCCACACCCACCCCUGCUCUUGCUUCAGCAGGGUAUUUUUAGAGGGCCAGCAGAGUUCUUUGGAGAAGCCAGCCCGUUUCAGCUGGGCCUGCUGCGCUUGGAAAAGCAAUCUUCUUGCUGAAGACCAGUGUUUCGGCUUGCCGGAAAGCUAUUUACGUGGCUCCAGGGUGGGCCUGGAAGCUGCGAAAGGGCAGGGAGAGGAAGCGAGAAUCCGAGAGAGAGGGAGAGCUCCUGUCAGAUUACUCUCUCAUUUUUCGUCACCUAAGCAGCCUACAGUUUCAAGGGCAGUGGAGAGCUGUACGUUUACAGAGGAUGAGACACCCAUCUGGGCGGCGGUGUUGACGUCCUCACCUUUCAAAGUCUCCCUGCGACCUCAGCGAGACAUAACGUGGCCCGCGUGCACCUUGCAUUCUCUUAAGAGCCUGGGUGAUCGAUGAGAUCUAUCUACUUGCUGUCCCGUCCCGGUCAGUGGACCAUUUCACCCACAUGGUGUGCGUUUUAGGCCUCUUCUUUCUGAUAUUUACAUGCUACCUGAAAUCCCUCCUUCCUCAGAAAGCCUUCUUUGCUUAACGAAGGAGAGUUGGGAUCCCACACAUUCAAACUCUACAAUUCUGUUUUCACGUGUGACCUCACCGAAACUGCUUCAUGUCUUUGCUGACAGCGUAAAGCGGUUCCUGGCAAAUUUGCGUAUGAAUGCUAGGUUUGCUCAUAACUGGCGUUUUCCCUGCGUCUCCAGAAUUACUGUGCUGUGUCUCAGAUUUCUGUUUGCCAGAGGGCAUGCAAAUGGGGAGGCAGACAAGAAGACCAUCAAGCAAAUCCAUGUAUAAACUAUAACGUGCAAAAACAUGGCCAUGGCCGCUUUGUCACUUGCAAAGAGAUGUCAAGGACUUUUUAUCUCACUUGACCUUUGCAAAGACUACUAUCCACAUCUUAAUUGGGACAUUGAGGCUCAGAUAGAUACAGUAGGGCAUUGGUAUGGGGCACUCUUCUGUUCAAGAUCUAUGCCUACCCUGAACUAUACAGCAUAACCUGCUGGGGGGGGGUUGUAUAUCGUCCAUGCACACGCCCAGCAGUUCAGCGAAGGGCAGAGGUCUAGAAAAUGGCAAGGGGCAGGAGCCUGUUGGGUGAAUAAGGCAGCCCCAUAAUCCCAAGCCCCACCCUACCCAAUGGGCAUAUUCACCCCGAAGGCAGAGCUGGAGGGAAUGCGACCGUCUUCCCAGGGCAGUGCAGGGGAAGCUGGAGGAGUCUACACUGCUUGGCAGGCUGCAGGGACAUCUUUUGCAAACAGACACCUGGGAGCCCUGAGGACUGGUAUCAUUUCAUUUCCCACAAAAGUCCAAAAUGGCCGGAAAAAAGCAGAACCGAUAACCCUUCAGUCGCCUGGUCUGAGGCCAUGCGUACAUCAUGGCAGGGAGAUCUUAAUCAGUGUCACGGACAUGAGUUCUUUGAGAAGGUCACGAAAGCCCCGCCCCGUCUCCCCAGAAAACGGCUGCCUAUAAUUGCAGGGGGUUCAAGCUCACGGUUUCCCGGGACAUUUGUGCAGAUGAAAUUGAUCAGCGGCAGGAGGAAGAUAGCUGUUGCCUAGGCAACCAGCCGAUGACUCAUCCUGGCUUUGAAGCAGCAAAAGCCAUGAGCCUGCAGUAAUUUUCCAGAUGCUUAACCUGUCCUCCUCCUUCUCUGUCUUUCUUUGUUUUCCUCUCUCCAUCCUUCAUUUCUUUCUGCACCCUCACUUCCCCGGGUCCUCCCUAAACUUGACACUGAGUGCUGCAGGAUCUCUGCGGGGGGUGGGUAUAGGGGGUGGUCCUGAGCUCCCCAGAGCAGUUAUGUGGACCUCAUCCCACCAGUAAUAGGUGGCUUUCCCUGCUGCUGCUCCUUAUGUCUCCUAACCGGGAAAUGGCCAGGCUGUCACCGUCGGUGCUGCAGAGCCCCCAAGAUGCUGCUUGUUGCCCUUGAUCAGAGAACCUCAAGUGAACCCGGCACUUUUUCUUUGAAUCUAAACUAAACGGACCACACCCCUUUAUCUCAGAGAUCUGCAGUGUUCCUUUGAGGACAGACAGUUAUCCUGUGGGCCUCCCAAGCCGAGUUGCGACAGUGACGUUUACAGGUGACAGAGGCCACCAUUGGCAGCUCUCUGGAUGCUGGGUUUUCCCAUCCUCCUUCGCUGACGUUCCCCACUCCUCAUCUUGUGUCUGAUGUUCCAGGCCCUUCUUAAUUAGCCAUCUCAAUCGUCUCUACAACGCGGAGUAUAGAAGCUUGAACCGUUCCCCUUCCAAAAGCAUUUUCAUUUUAACAAGGCUUUCAGAAGCAAAAUAUUUUAAAACUCAGGGGAACCAAAUCGUUAGCCUUUUGGAUAAAGAUAUAGGUGGUGGGGUGGGGGGGUUGGGUAGUAAGCUACGCCUGGAAGAGGGUCUUCCUCUGCACGUCGUACGUGCAUCACCCAUGGUGCUGCUGAGGCUGGCACAGAACAUUUUAUGUUGGUUACAAGUUGGUCCCCCAGUUCCGUAUCCCACCCCUACCCGUACAUAUGUACUGUGUCCAUGCACGUCACGUACACACACACACACACACACACACACACACACUGCCUUGAGCAGCAGCAGCAGCUAAUGGGGAGACAACAACAAAUCCCCAGCGAUGAAGGCAGAGCCACCAGGGACACAGACAUACGCUCAUUCUCCUCCUCCUGCGGUGGAGCACGCCGUCCUCUGGUCUCAAGCACACGCUGGGCAAGGAUGCCUUGGCCACCCUCAUGAUCUGAGGAAAUGGCAUUGGCUCUGGGAGCACUUCAAUCCCGCGAAGCAUGGGACUCGAGGUGGGUGAGACUUGAGCCGUGUGCACCCUGGCCAUCCAUCCAGUGCGGGCAUUGCCGCUAAAGUGUCCCCCCAUGGCAACCGUGCUGCUGAACUUGAAUCCGCAGGGAUGGAGGCCGCUUGGCUCACAGGGCAGCCCAGUACAUUUUUGAACAGAUGGGAUUGUUCACCUCUUUAUAGAUUUAUGGAGCAAUUCUUUCAUUCGGUAAAGACCAAUGGAAUGCCCUUGGUGUGAGAUGCAGGGGUGAGCAAAACGGUCCUGCCAGUGUGGGGCUCAGGGUCUCCGGGUUGGCGGAAUCAAGGGCACAACCCGACAGCACCGUGGUUGCCAGUGGGGGAGACGGUGACCAGGAGACUCUGGGGCCAUAAGC
Molecule: long non-coding RNA, 7502 nt
Organism: Felis catus (domestic cat)
Lineage: Eukaryota; Metazoa; Chordata; Mammalia; Carnivora; Felidae
Exons: 6
Source: RefSeq, a predicted model, not a curated record